RNAcentral lists this ribosomal RNA (425 nucleotides) under uncultured bacterium. Its description in RNAcentral is "partial 16S ribosomal RNA". It matches the Rfam family "Bacterial small subunit ribosomal RNA", at positions 354 to 796 of the family's 1533-position model. The record is from RNAcentral.
GUAAGGAAUAUUGGUCAAUGGAGGCAACUCUGAACCAGCAAUGCCGCGUGAGUGAUGAAGGCCUUAGGGUUGUAAAGCUCUUUUACCAGGGAUGAUAAUGACAGUACCUGGAGAAUAAGCUCCGGCUAACUCCGUGCCAGCAGCCGCGGUAAUACGGAGGGAGCUAGCGUUGUUCGGAAUUACUGGGCGUAAAGCGCACGUAGGCGGUUACUCAAGUCAGAGGUGAAAGCCCGGGGCUCAACCCCGGAACUGCCUUUGAAACUAGGUAACUAGAAUCUUGGAGAGGUCAGUGGAAUUCCGAGUGUAGAGGUGAAAUUCGUAGAUAUUCGGAAGAACACCAGUGGCGAAGGCGACUGACUGGACAAGUAUUGACGCUGAGGUGCGAAAGCGUGGGGAGCAAACAGGAUUAGAAACCCCAGUAGUCC